This 225-nucleotide ribosomal RNA is filed under the name uncultured Clostridium sp. Its description in RNAcentral is "partial 16S ribosomal RNA". It matches the Rfam family "Bacterial small subunit ribosomal RNA", at positions 568 to 792 of the family's 1533-position model. The record is from RNAcentral. Lineage: Bacteria; Bacillati; Bacillota; Clostridia; Eubacteriales; Clostridiaceae.
CGCGUAGGCGGACUUUUAAGUGAGAUGUGAAAUACCCGGGCUCAACCUGGGAGCUGCAUUUCAAACUGGAAGUCUAGAGUGCAGGAGAGGAGAAGGGAAUUCCUAGUGUAGCGGUGAAAUGCGUAGAGAUUAGGAAGAACACCAGUGGCGAAGGCGCUUCUCUGGACUGUAACUGACGCUGAGGCUCGAAAGCGUGGGGAGCAAACAGGAUUAGAUACCCUCGUA